ACUAGAACGCUUAUGUAUUUGUGC
Molecule: non-coding RNA, 24 nt
Filed under: Arabidopsis thaliana (thale cress)
Lineage: Eukaryota; Viridiplantae; Streptophyta; Magnoliopsida; Brassicales; Brassicaceae
Source: RNAcentral